GGCAACCUGCCUAUAAGACUGGGAUAACUUCGGGAAACCGGAGCUAAUACCGGAUAAUUCUUUUCCUCUCAUGAGGAAAAGCUGAAAGGCGGCUUCGGCUGUCACUUAUAGAUGGGCCCGCGGCGCAUUAGCUAGUUGGUGAGGUAACGGCUCACCAAGGCGACGAUGCGUAGCCGACCUGAGAGGGUGAUCGGCCACACUGGGACUGAGACACGGCCCAGACUCCUACGGGAGGCAGCAGUAGGGAAUCUUCCGCAAUGGACGAAAGUCUGACGGAGCAACGCCGCGUGAGUGAUGAAGGUUUUCGGAUCGUAAAACUCUGUUGUUAGGGAAGAACAAGUACGAGAGUAACUGCUCGUACCUUGACGGUACCUAACCAGAAAGCCACGGCUAACUACGUGCCAGCAGCCGCGGUAAUACGUAGGUGGCAAGCGUUGUCCGGAAUUAUUGGGCGUAAAGCGCGCGCAGGCGGUUCCUUAAGUCUGAUGUGAAAGCCCACGGCUCAACCGUGGAGGGUCAUUGGAAACUGGGGAACUUGAGUGCAGAAGAGAAGAGUGGAAUUCCACGUGUAGCGGUGAAAU
This 581-nucleotide ribosomal RNA is filed under the name Bacillus sp. (in: firmicutes). RNAcentral describes it as "bacterial SSU rRNA". It matches the Rfam family "Bacterial small subunit ribosomal RNA", at positions 120 to 687 of the family's 1533-position model. Lineage: Bacteria; Bacillati; Bacillota; Bacilli; Caryophanales; Bacillaceae. The record is from RNAcentral.